UUUCCAGAGACGCAGGAAGUUCAUCAGGAUGAUGACUUGGCACUCUACAUGAAACCGCAAGGAUGUGGUGGAUGGCAAGGAUAGCACUCACGGAUUUAGAGUGAAUAAAGGACACCUCCAGGAUGGAGAUGAGAAGCAGGUUAGGAUGACUUGUUAGGCUAGGAUUGCCAAAGGAACAACUCAAAGGAUUGGGGAAAAGUAAAUCACCUAAUGGAUUAGGUAAAUGUCUAAGUGCAGGGAGCACAAUCAGUUUAAGGAUAUGAGCUAUUACGACAACGUAAAAGGGCUGCACUAGUUACUAGUGUAGCCCUUUUCUUUGUCUAA
This 324-nucleotide non-coding RNA is filed under the name Moritella viscosa. The record is from RNAcentral. Lineage: Bacteria; Pseudomonadati; Pseudomonadota; Gammaproteobacteria; Alteromonadales; Moritellaceae.